This 1584-nucleotide long non-coding RNA is filed under the name Pan troglodytes (chimpanzee). RNAcentral describes it as "long non-coding RNA NONPTRT010705". The record is from RNAcentral. Lineage: Eukaryota; Metazoa; Chordata; Mammalia; Primates; Hominidae.
UUGCACACCACCUCCUUUCCUGGGAGUGGAGAAGCCCCAGCCAGAACCCUUGCCUUCCCCAAGAGGCACGCUCAGAGGGACAUUCUGCCCUUCCUCACUGCCCCUAGAGCCAACAUCACACCUGGCUUUGGGGCCCUAGAACCUCAGCCCGCGCCCCUCCCCUUCCACCCCCAGCCAUCCCUGCUCUGUGCCCAGUGAUCUUGGGGUCACCACAACCCCAUGGCGCCUUGAGGCCUCACCUUUCCUGGCCUCUCAGCAUCCUGGGACACUGAUGGUCAUGCCUUCCUUCUAGAAAGUUCUCUCCGAGGCUGUGGCUUCCAGGAUGAGCACUCUCCUCCUCCCACUUCCUCCCCUUCUCCUUCCCCCUCCUCCCUUCUCCCUGGAGAGGUCUUUCUCCAAGCCCCAGUCUUCCUCCCCACCCGGUGCCCCUCCCGCUGACAUUUGUCUGCAGUGCCUGUCUCCGCUCCCGCUAGGAAGCCUCCCCUCCGGCAUCUCCAAUCCAUCUCUGGGUCCUGCUCCACCUGCAUUUCCCUAGACCUGUCCUGGCCACCCUCACCCUGGGACACCUCCUGCCCGUGGAGAGCUCCUCUGAUAGGUGCCGUCCUUGGUCUUGGGGGUCCUUUCUCCCUAAUUCUACUUCUGUUUUGGGGGCGUGGGAACCCAGGGUCUUAACCCCAGCCAUUCCCCCUCCCAGGGGCCACUUCCCUCUGAAGCUUAGCCCAGCUCUGUGACCCCCACAGGCCUGCCCCCACCUGGUCCUCACUCCCCUGCAUAGCCACACUGUGGGGGCUCCAUGCUUCCCAGCCCAUAGGAAGCCCUGUUCCCAGAGGGGGCCAUUCUGUUUUAGUUGGAGCAGUGGCCAGAGGCAAAGGUCAGAAGGCAAAGGUCAUAAAAGUUUGUCUCUACCUGCCAGCAUCUGCCCCUGCUACCGCAUCUUCUCCCCUCUCCACCCAAACCCUCCCUCAGCUCCUGCCUCCACCUCUCCAGAGGCACAGACAACAGGGUUCUGAUCUUGGGUCAUGGUGCUCCCCCUGCCAGCCUCAGUCCGAGACCUCUGUGAAUGGGGGUGAUGGCUAAUGGGAUGAGGGGACCACCUCCUGGUGGCUGCAGGGACUGGGGUGAGGGUGCUGUAGGCUCUGCCUAAGUCAAGUGCCAUGGGGCUGAAGAGACGGCGCACCGGCCCUGGAGAAGAGUCCUCCCUGCCCUCCUGUGUCUGGCCUUGUUUCCUGGAGGACAGGUCCCCACGGGGCAGAGACCCAGCAGUCCCAGUCCUGAACAAAAUAUGUGUUUCAACUGCUAUCCAGUUCUGGUUUCCCUUGACAUUGGUGAGACAUAUAAACAGAGGGCAGCUGGGAAUGGAGGGGGCAGGGCCUUCCCAUGCACAGUGGGGGGUGGGGGGACCUGCCCUCCAUCCAGUCCCCAGGGUCCUACUCAUUGCAGGGGGCCCUCCUGGAGGUGUCCUUGGUCCUGUACUGCAGGGUGGGCUGCAACGGGGCUGGGGGCAGGUCUGCACCCCCCACCCCUGAGAUGUGGGUUUGUCUAUCUGUGCUGGGGAUUCUGGAGACGGCACCUGCAGAACUUAAU